This 49-nucleotide ribosomal RNA is filed under the name Guilandina bonduc. RNAcentral's name for it is "partial 28S ribosomal RNA". The record is from RNAcentral. RNAcentral also lists the same sequence under 29 other names. Lineage: Eukaryota; Viridiplantae; Streptophyta; Magnoliopsida; Fabales; Fabaceae.
CGACCCCAGGUCAGGCGGGGCUACCCGCUGAGUUUAAGCAUAUCAAUAA